Molecule: ribosomal RNA, 601 nt
Filed under: uncultured Veillonellaceae bacterium
Lineage: Bacteria; Bacillati; Bacillota; Negativicutes; Veillonellales; Veillonellaceae
Description: bacterial SSU rRNA
Rfam family: Bacterial small subunit ribosomal RNA
Source: RNAcentral
GACGAACGCUGGCGGCGUGCUUAACACAUGCAAGUCGAACGAGAGGACAAGAGAAGCUUGCUUCUUUUGAAAUCGAGUGGCAAACGGGUGAGUAACACGUAAACAACCUGCCUUCAGGAUGGGGACAACAGACGGAAACGACUGCUAAUACCGAAUACGCUUGGAAGACCGCAUGAUUUUCCAAGGAAAGGGUGGCCUCUACCUGUAAGCUAUCGCCUGAAGAAGGGUUUGCGUCUGAUUAGGCAGUUGGUGAGGUAACGGCCCACCAAACCUACGAUCAGUAGCCGGUCUGAGAGGAUGAACGGCCACACUGGGACUGAGACACGGCCCAGACUCCUACGGGAGGCAGCAGUGGGGAAUCUUCCGCAAUGGACGAAAGUCUGACGGAGCAACGCCGCGUGAACGAUGACGGCCUUCGGGUUGUAAAGUUCUGUUAUACGGGACGAAUGGUGCGACGGUCAAUACCCGUCGUAAGUGACGGUACCGUAAGAGAAAGCCACGGCUAACUACGUGCCAGCAGCCGCGGUAAUACGUAGGUGGCAAGCGUUGUCCGGAAUUAUUGGGCGUAAAGGGCGCGCAGGCGGCGUCGUAAGUCGGUCUU